Long non-coding RNA from Lepidothrix coronata (blue-crowned manakin), 288 nucleotides. RefSeq lists it as uncharacterized. NCBI's taxonomy places the organism in Eukaryota, Metazoa, Chordata, Aves, Passeriformes, Pipridae. The record is from RefSeq and is a predicted model, not a curated record. The transcript is spliced from 3 exons.
UUCACCUCUAAAUCCAUUCUCACCAGGAAACCCUGGGUCUCCCAUUUGUCCUUUCUCUAAACGGAUGUUAAUGUAGCCACUGUCUCCUGGAGACCCUCUUUCACCUUUGAGCCAAAAAUAUGGAAUGCAAUCCUAGUUCCCCGUCUCUGCCAUCAAGACCUCUCUGGCCUGGAAAUCCUGGAACCCCAACUUCAACCCACAAUCCACUGAGGAAGGGAAUCUCUGGAGUGUGGUGACUGCAGGAUGGGGCUUUCCUCCCGGAACUGAACACAGCAGCAAGUAAGUGAU